GCAAUAUAGGUUUAGACGACUUUAAUGUCUACAAAUAAAAUAAAUAAACUGUGCUAUGUUGCAAUAUUGGAAAGUUGGGCGUUGGGAAUUCUCGUCAUUUAUAAAAGAUGAAGAAAAUUGUCGAUAGCUUAUCCUCUGUUCUCAUUUUGGCUUUGGUUGCCAAUGUCAGGUGCCACUGUUCUUGUAGGAUUAGUACACUUAAUCUGACCCACCACUCUCUGGACGGCAGCCGUGCUCAUACCAGAUUACUCCAUCCGAAUGUCUGUGUAUCCGAAAUUAAGCCAGUGGUACAAAAAUAUCAUCCUCUUCAAAUGAGGUCUGUGGAGUUGUUUGAACCAUGUUGUUGCCGAGCUUUCUGGAGAACACAGCGUGUGCUUCAAGGUUGGCGGACCAUCUACAUGAGUACAGCUUAUUAUUGCCAAAGCAUAUCAUGUCCUUACUAGGUUUGACAAGACAGUUGAAAAAAAUCAUAAGAAAGACAACAAAUGGUUUUAUUCGAAAGAACAUGUAUAAAUGUUUCAUCCUUCAUCUUUACAUAGGAACAGCCGGAUAUGUGUGCAAAAAAAAAUGCUUUGUCAGUUAAUGAAGUGAACCUAUAUUGUUCAUAAGAAAUGUAUCCAACAAUUUGUCAUGUAUACAUACGAUUUACUAGUCAAAUUCUGUUAUAAGCGUUACAUAAUAAUUAUUGAUAGGAAUUAACCUAGCUUUUGUGUUUUUGAUACAGUUUCUUUUUCUUCUUUUCUUUUCGUCCUUUCAUUAUAACUGUUAUUUCUGUAUCACAUGUUUAUAAAAACAUCUAAAUAAACAAGUAGGCUUCUUUUAAAAAAGAAACCUAGGAGAGGUCCAGUGUUGCUCCUUUUAAAGUUAUAUCAGACACAUAGAUAACAAUUGUUAUCUAAUUAUUGUCUCU
Molecule: long non-coding RNA, 910 nt
Organism: Mercenaria mercenaria
Lineage: Eukaryota; Metazoa; Mollusca; Bivalvia; Venerida; Veneridae
Exons: 3
Source: RefSeq, a predicted model, not a curated record